RNAcentral lists this ribosomal RNA (165 nucleotides) under Leucophyllum minus. RNAcentral describes it as "5.8S ribosomal RNA". It matches the Rfam family "5.8S ribosomal RNA". From Rfam's summary of the family: 5.8S ribosomal RNA (5.8S rRNA) is a component of the large subunit of the eukaryotic ribosome. It is transcribed by RNA polymerase I as part of the 45S precursor that also contains 18S and 28S rRNA. Lineage: Eukaryota; Viridiplantae; Streptophyta; Magnoliopsida; Lamiales; Scrophulariaceae. The record is from RNAcentral.
AUAACGACUCUCGGCAACGGAUAUCUCGGCUCUCGCAUCGAUGAAGAACGUAGCGAAAUGCGAUACUUGGUGUGAAUUCGAGAAUCCCGUGAACCAUCGAGUCUUUGAACGCAAGUUGCGCCCGAAGCCAUUAGGCCGAGGGCACGUCUGCCUGGGCGUCACGCA